This 1598-nucleotide ribosomal RNA is filed under the name Tepuihyla edelcae (white-lipped bog-frog). Its description in RNAcentral is "16S ribosomal RNA". It matches the Rfam family "Bacterial large subunit ribosomal RNA". Lineage: Eukaryota; Metazoa; Chordata; Amphibia; Anura; Hylidae. The record is from RNAcentral.
GCUAAUAAUCUAGCCCCCUAACAUCAAAUGAAACCAUUGACUUUAUAAUAUAAACUAAAACAUUUUAUAAACUUAGUAAAGGCGAUUAAAAAAUUGAUAGGAGCAAUAAAAAAGGUACCGCAAGGGAAAGAUGAAAUAAAAAUGAAACAAAUGUAAAGCACAGGACAGUAGAGACUAACUCUCGUACCUUUUGCAUCAUGGUUUAACUAGUCCAAUCAAGCACAACGACUUAAAGUUUGACCUCCCGAAACUAAGUGAGCUACUUCAAGGCAGCUUAUUGAGCGAACCCGUCUCUGUUGCAAAAGAGUGGGAAGACCUUCAAGUAGAGGUGACAGACCUAACGAACUUAGUGAUAGCUGGUUGCUCAAGAAAAGGACUUUAGCCCAGCCUAAAGUUUUCCCCAGUUUCUUAAAACACAAUUUUGACUUUAGAGUAAUUCAAAUAAGGUACAGCCUAUUUGAAAAAGGAUACAACCUAAGCUAACGGGUAAUAUCUUAAUUUUAUAACCAAGUGGGCCUAAAAGCAGCCACCUUUAAAAUAGCGUCAAAGCUUUAUUAUAUAUGGUUUUUAAUUUCUUUUAAUUCACCAAACCCUUUAAUCUUAUUGAGCAAUUCUAUAUUAUUAUAGAACAUAUAAUGUUAAAACUAGUAACAAGAAGAAGACCUUCUCUUAAAUGCAAGUGUAAAUCAACAAGGACCAACCGCUGGUAAUUAACACCCAUGAAAACAUAUUAGCAACCCCACAAGAAAACUCUAAUAAACUAUGUGUUAAUCUAACACAAGAGCAUUACAAGAAAGAUUAAAAGAAAAAGAAGGAACUCGGCAAAUAUUAACCUCGCCUGUUUACCAAAAACAUCGCCUCUUGAAUAUCUAUAAGAGGUCCAGCCUGCCCAGUGACUCUGUUCAACGGCCGCGGUAUCCUAACCGUGCGAAGGUAGCGUAAUCACUUGUUCUUUAAAUGAGGACUUGUAUGAACGGCACCACGAGGGUUAUACUGUCUCCUCUCUCUAAUCAGUGAAACUAAUCUCCCCGUGAAGAAGCGGGGAUAAGAAUAUAAGACGAGAAGACCCUAUGGAGCUUUAAACUUAAUGACAAGUACUGGCUACAUAUUAACUUUCAGAAAAUUAACUAUUACUUUAGUAUCAUGAUCAUUAGUUUUAGGUUGGGGUGACCACGGAGUAAAAAUUAACCUCCGUAUUGAAUGGGAUUAAUCCCUGAGCCAAGAGCCACGACUCCAAACACCAACAAAUUGACAUUAAUUGACCCAAUAUUUUGAUCAACGAACCAAGUUACCCUAGGGAUAACAGCGCAAUCCACUUCAAGAGCCCCUAUCGACAAGUGGGUUUACGACCUCGAUGUUGGAUCAGGGUAUCCCAGUGGUGCAGCCGCUACUAAAGGUUCGUUUGUUCAACGAUUAAAACCCUACGUGAUCUGAGUUCAGACCGGAGUAAUCCAGGUCAGUUUCUAUCUAUAACGGAAUUUUUUCUAGUACGAAAGGACCGAAAGAACAUGGCCUAUACUCUAUGCAAGCCAUAAUUAUUAACUUAUGACUAAAUCUUAAUAAGUACAUAACCCACCACCCACCUCAAGAAAAGAGCA